GGAACUGUUUGGUUACUAUGGAACUUCAGAAGAAAUUAUUUUCUUUUUUUUUUUUUUCUUAAAGGAAAGACUGUAGAAAGAAGUUGGGUCUAAGGACAGAGACAGAUUCAAAAAGGACAAAAGCACCAGAAUGUUCCUGUUUCUGGGUAGAGGAGAAGAUAAGUUGACAGAAGCAUUCCUCAUAUUCUCAUCAGCCUUGGGGAUCCUUCUGUGGAAAAUUUUGAGAGGCAUUAACCUAAGAGUAGAGGACAGACUCCCAGCCUGGUACCCAAAACUGUGAAUAAGGCAGUCUCAAUAUUCCUCUUCGAAUUUUUUUCCACUACCCUUGUGAGUGAAAUCUGAUCAUCAGCCGGCUAUCCACCCGCUCACUGGAUGUCACAUCAUCCUCUGCACAAGCCUCAACCAGCUUUCCUCCCAAGACUCUUGCUUCUUCUUUACUUGCUGCUGCUGCCGCUAAGUCGCGUCAGUCGUGUCCGAUUCUGUGCGGCCCCAUAGAUGGCAGCCCACCAGGCUCCCCCAUCCCUGGGAUUCUCCAGGUAAGAACACUGGAGUGGGUUGCCAUUUCCUUCUCCAAUGUAUGAAAGUGAAAAGUGCAAGUGAAGUUGCUCAGUCGUGUCCGACUCUUAGUGACCCCAUAGACUGUAGCCCACCAGGCUCCUCCGUCCAUGGAAUUCUC
RNAcentral lists this long non-coding RNA (676 nucleotides) under Capra hircus (goat). RNAcentral's name for it is "lncRNA (ENSCHIG00000004633.1)". Lineage: Eukaryota; Metazoa; Chordata; Mammalia; Artiodactyla; Bovidae. The record is from RNAcentral.